Molecule: ribosomal RNA, 274 nt
Filed under: uncultured bacterium
Lineage: Bacteria
Description: partial 16S ribosomal RNA
Rfam family: Bacterial small subunit ribosomal RNA
Source: RNAcentral
AUACGGAGGAUGCAAGCGUUAUCCGGAUUUAUUGGGUUUAAAGGGUGCGCAGGCGGCCUUAUAAGUCAGUGGUGAAAUCUCCCGGCUCAACCGGGAAACUGCCAUUGAUACUGUAAGGCUAGAAUACAGACGAGGUAGGCGGAAUGUAGCAUGUAGCGGUGAAAUGCUUAGAUAUGCUACAGAACACCAAUCGCGAAGGCAGCUUACCAGACUGUAAUUGACGCUAAGGCACGAAAGCGUGGGGAGCGAACAGGAUUAGAAACCCCAGUAGUCC